RNAcentral lists this ribosomal RNA (2008 nucleotides) under Pachycheles ackleianus. Its description in RNAcentral is "SSU rRNA". It matches the Rfam family "Eukaryotic small subunit ribosomal RNA". Lineage: Eukaryota; Metazoa; Arthropoda; Malacostraca; Decapoda; Porcellanidae. The record is from RNAcentral.
ACCUGCCAGUAGUUAUAUGCUGUCUCAAAGACUAAGCCAUGCAUGUGUCAGUGCAAGCUCAUAUAUUGAAGGUGAAACCGCGAAUGGCUCAUUAAAUCAGUUAUGAUUUACUAGUUAUCAGCCUUACUUACUGUGGAUAACUGUGGUAAUUCCAGAGCUAAUACAUGCCUCAACCGCGACUCUGGCCUCCGAUCCAAAGGAGGUAAGAGGGCUUUUAUUAGAUCACAAAACCAAUGAUUGUCGGAUCUCGGUCCGUCAGUGCAAAACCUGUGAUGAAUCUGGAUAACUUGUGCUGAGCGCAUAGCCUCUUGUUGUGCUGGCGCCGCUUCUUCCAAGUAACUGCCUUAUCAGCUUUCGUUUGUAUGUUAAAUGCAUACAGUGGCAAUAACGGGUAACGGGGAAUCGGAGUUUGAUUCCGGAGAGGGAGCCUGAGAAACGGCUACCACAUCCAAGGAAGGCAGCAGGCACGCAAAUUACCCACUCCCAGCUCGGGGAGGUAGUGACGAAAAAUAACAAUGUAAGACUCAUCCGAGGCCUUGCAAUUGGAAUGAGUACACUUUAAAUCCUUUAACGAGUACCAAUUGGAGGGCAAGUCUGGUGCCAGCAGCCGCGGUAAUUCCAGCUCCAAUAGCAUAUAUUAAUGUUGUUGCGGUUAAAAAGCUCGUAGUUGGCACUGCAAGGCAGAGCCACGGGACGCCGCCUGGCGAUUCCGUCGGUCUUCUGCAGUGCUCCUCCUCUACCCGAAAGGUGUAGACGGAGGGGACAUGCUGGCUAUCACGGGAUGCCCUUCACCGGGUGUCGCGAGUGGCCAGCAAGUUUACUGUGAAAAAAUUAGAGUGCUUAAAGCAGGCAAAACUUAAUGCCUGAAUAAUGUAUCAUGGAAUAAUGGAAUAGGACCUUGGUUCUAUUUUGUUGGUUUUUUCUUGAGCCCAAGGUAAUGACUAAUAGGGACAGUCGGGGGCAUAUGUAUUGCGACGCUAGAGGUGAAAUUCUUGGAUCGUCGCAAGACAAACAACUGCGAAAGCAUUUGCCAAGGAUGUUUUCAUUAAUCAAGAACGAAAGUUAGAGGUUCGAAGGCGAUCAGAUACCGCCCUAGUUCUAACCAUAAACGAUGCUGACCAGCAAUCCGUCGGAGUUAUAACCACGAUCCGAACGGGCGACUUCCGGGAAACCAAAGUCUUUGAGUUCCGGGGGAAGUAUGGUUGCAAAGCUGAAACUUAAAGGAAUUGACGGAAGGGCACCACCAGGAGUGGAGCCUGCGGCUUAAUUUGACUCAACACGGGGAACCUCACCAGGCCCAGACACUGGAAGGAUUGACAGAAUGAGAGCUCUUUCUCGAUUCAGUGGGUGGUGGUGCAUGGCCGUUCUUAGUUGGUGGAGUGAUUUGUCUGGCUAAUUCCGAUAACGAACGAGACUCUAGCCUACUAAGUAGUCGAUGGAUUCAAUGAUGCACAGCCCCUGCACGGCAUACUCUUUCCUUCAUCGGAUCGGGUUGCAGUCGCAGCGGGUCGCAUCUACGACGUCCAUUCGAUCCGAAUUCUUCUUAGAGGGAUAAGCAGCAAAUCUAGCUGCACGAGAUUGAGCAAUAACAGGUCUGUGAUGCCCUUAGAUGUUCUGGGCUGCACGCGCGCUACACUGAAGGGAGCAGCGUGCUUUCCCUCUCCGAGAGGAGAGGGUAACCCGCUGAAAACCCUUCUUGAUAGGGAUUGGGGCUUGCAAUUGUUCCCCAUGAACGAGGAAUUCCCAGUAAGCGCAAGUCAUCAUCUUGCGUUGACUACGUCCCUGCCCUUUGUACACACCGCCCGUCGCUACUACCGAUUGAAUGAUUUAGUGAGGACUUUGGACUGGCCAUCUUGGAUGCCUUAUGAAAGGCCAGGCUGUCGCAGCGGUGGUUCUAUUGCUGCCGCUGUGAUGUAUGUCUGGUUGCUCCAAGACACGUCGGAAAGAUGUCCGAACUUGAUCACUUAGAGGAAGUAAAAGUCGUAACAAGGUUUCCGUAGGUGAACCU